UAAUGACAUUCUUUUAGAAGAGAAGAGACCGCGGGAAAAUGAUGUCACUUCCUGUUUGGCGAACGUGUGUGGUGAAGGGUUGGCGCGGAGCUGGUGGAAGUAUGCUAGGAGAACAUUUUAAAACGCUGUCUACAAGAACAUUGGGAAUUGCUCAUUAACUGUACAUGUCAUUAUAAGUUACCCGCGUAUUAGCAUGGGUGUCAGAUCCUGAAGUCCGCUCUGUGGUGUUUGGCUCAUCUUACAGUUAUAUAUCCGCCUGUUGUCGUUAGCUCACAGCUGACUCAAAUGGAUUUAAUGGAUGAACUUUAUGGAGAUCUUGAUGACAAGCCUUUUGGUGCUCUGCAUCACAUUGAGGACUCGGUAUACUCUGGCCUGGAAAACAGCCCUAAGAUUGAUGGGCACAGAGGUGGGUUUCAUUAAUGAGUCUUGAAUUGAUUACAGCACAUAGUUUUUAUUGAAAGUAAUUUGUUGAUGUAUGUGUAUCAGAGAAAUAGCAGGAUAAAACUUUAAUAUAUAGUAAUUAUUGUAGUGUCCUUUUUUUUUUAAAUUAGGUAAAGUCAACCCACUCCUUUCCCCACACACAAUGGAAUCAAUGGAUAUAUAUGAGGACAUUAUCAGGGAAGAACAAGAAGAAAAGGAAGCAACCUAUAAUGAGGUAUGUGACUUGAGCUUUGAAUAUGGUUGCAUGGCAUGCUA
RNAcentral lists this long non-coding RNA (696 nucleotides) under Sinocyclocheilus grahami. RNAcentral's name for it is "lncRNA (ENSSGRG00000039186.1)". The record is from RNAcentral. Lineage: Eukaryota; Metazoa; Chordata; Actinopteri; Cypriniformes; Cyprinidae.